Molecule: ribosomal RNA, 395 nt
Filed under: uncultured bacterium
Lineage: Bacteria
Description: partial 16S ribosomal RNA
Rfam family: Bacterial small subunit ribosomal RNA
Source: RNAcentral
CCUACGGGUGGCAGCAGUGAGGAAUAUUGGUCAAUGGGCGCGAGCCUGAACCAGCCAAGUAGCGUGAAGGAUGAAUGCCCUACGGGUUGUAAACUUCUUUUAUCAAGGAAUAAAGUGAGGCACGCGUGCCUUUUUGUAUGUACUUUAUGAAUAAGGAUCGGCUAACUCCGUGCCAUCAGCCGCGGUAAUACGGAGGAUCCGAGCGUUAUCCGGAUUUAUUGGGUUUAACGGGAGCGUAGAUGGGUUGUUAAGUCAGUUGUGAAAGGUGGGGGCUCAACCGGAAAAUUGCAAUUGAUACUGGCAGUCUAGAGUACAGGUGAGGUAGGCGGAAUUCGAGGGGUAGCGGUGAAAUGCGUAGAUAUCGCGAAGAACUCCGAUUGCGAAGGCAGCAUGCU